This is a non-coding RNA of Paramuricea clavata, 656 nucleotides long. The record is from the annotation of a GenBank genome assembly. Lineage: Eukaryota; Metazoa; Cnidaria; Anthozoa; Malacalcyonacea; Plexauridae.
UUAAGGGGGGGGUACACAUGGAAUCAUUUGAAAAAAUCGAUUUUCAUUUUUUGAGCUAAAUAGUUACUGUGGCAUGUAAUUGAUGUUGUGAAAGUAUUUAUUUGCUUGAAUUUAAAAAAUUGUUCUGUCAGGAGCUGUUUUUAACCACCUCACUAUAAUUUUCAGCUUGGUUUCCAUGGUAACGAAAUGCAGAAUCCUUCAUAUUUUUCAUGUUUUUACCAAUAUACUGCUGUCCCUCCCCUCCCUAAUAUAAAAUAAUGAUACAGGCUCAUCUCUAGAUGAUUUUGCAGCGGAUUUACGUGGCGAUUAUGCGCAUAGAUGCGUUUUUUGAGAACUGGUGAUUCAAACAGAACAAACUCGAAAAUGUGUUUCAAUAUUUAAUAAAUAUUGAUCACUUUUGUGUAUAUAUUUCUUAACAUAUGGUUAAAAAUAACUAAUAAUGGUUCACAGAAAACAUUAAAACGAAACUUUAUUCACUGGGGUGAAGAAAUGCGCUAUAAAGACGACGAUAAAACGUGAACACAUUCAGGCAAUAAUCGGGCAUUAUUUCAAUUGGCAUUCAAUGCCAAAUAUCAACAGUCAUCUUCGAUUUGGAUUCUUGGACGUCUUAUAAACAGAUCUUCAAACGUUUAUUCUGCUGAACUUAAAAGUUGUGG